UCUUGAAAAAGAAGCAACAGAUUCAAUUGUGUGGAUUGCGUUAAUCUUAGCUGUCAUAUAUUUGAUAAUCUAACUUUAAAAUGUCAUGGUGUUUCUCUAAGUAAAUAUUCACAUUAGCCCUGUUCUUUUCGCAAACACUGGCAACCAGCGGCCAGUAGCGGACCCAGCAAUAAUGUUUACCUGUGUCAUAAUAAAUAUAUUUUUAAAAAUGUAUAGAAAAGUGUCAAGAUGAAGGUUGGUUUAGGGGUGUCAAAACCUAUAGACUAACCAUGUAAGCUACUGAUCAUUUAUUGUCUUACAUGCUAAAACUAUUUUUAUCAUGAUUUAACUUGUGUCACCUGACCCACCUAACCUGUUAGUGGGUCCGUUUCUGCCAGCGGCAGCGACUGAAAAUUACACUUUUACUAUCGAAAAUGCAACACGGUGAAACAACAUGAACUUACAUUUUCACUCGCAGCAGCAAGAAUCCGUAACUAAAUCCGACGCUGGAAAUAUCAGCGGCAUCAGCGUCUCCUGUUUCAGUCGCUGUGUCAAGCUACGAUAAUUAAAUUCGCUUUCAAAAUAUUAAAUCUUGUCUCUGCUGAAAGUGUUAUUUUUUGCCACUACCGCUAGCCGCAGCGGCUAUGGAAAGAACAUGGCUAUCAUUUUUUCUAAUAAAUGAUACAAAGCGAAAACAAACUGCAAAGUUUGGUUUCAUUUUUAUUUUAUAAGUUUUCAAAAUCAUUAGGAUAAUAUAAAGUGAUUUAAACAAGGGAAAUUGCACCCUAUAUACAUGAAAAAAACAUAAAUACACUAACUAACCAAAAUUUCCCUCUCUCUUCUAUUUUUUCUUCUUAUCUCUCUUUACUCUCUCUCCCAAAAUCUAAAUUUUUUUUUUUUUUAGUUAUUUGGCAAAUAAGCCCUUUAAACAAUGAGUGAACAAAACAAUGAGUGAACAAGAGAAAAAUGAACCACAGCUUUUGAGCCAAACAUAUAGAAGUAUUGAUGAGAUUAACUUGUUAAAAAAUGGAAAAAAUGAAAAAAUAAAGAAUAGUAAAUAAAUAUGGAGAAGAGGGAAUAGAAAAAUAUUUUUUUAUUAAGUAUUUAUAGUUAUGGAUACAAUAAAUUAUUAGUAGGUUUAACUUUCUUAUGAAAUCAAACAAACGUAGUUUAUUACUCUAGCUAAAGUAAAAGUAAAUAUUAAUUUAACUGUUCGCCCGAGUUACUGUUCACCAAGUUGAUAUUCACUUUAAAGCAUACACAAUGGAAAUAAGUUCAGUAGGUUUCUCAUAUAUAAUAUUAAAUUGCAUAUUUAUGUUUUAUUUGUUUUGAUUCGCUAAGUUAUUGUGAAUUUGACAAGUGUAGAUCAAAACCUCAUCAUUAUUUUUGUAGUACCGUCCUAAAGAAGCGCUUCAAAUAAAUGUCAUUAUCUUUCAUAUUUUUUUAAAAAAAUUUCAUUAUAUUGAUUGAUAGGUACUCAUUGAGGUAUCCACACUAAUGGUGCCCUUACCACUUCUUUCAAACUUGACUAUAAAGACUCUGGAGAUCAAGAUUCAAACCAUGAAGAUUUACCUCAUUAAAAAACAGAUUGUUUAAAGUCAUUUGGGAUACAACUACACUUAAAAAAGAGUAUAACCUUCAUGAUCUGUGGUCUUGUGACUGAGAUAGGUUUAUAAAUCCAAGUUUCGAAUGAAUGAACACACAAACUUGGUACUGGCUGCUUAGGUUUCCUAAGAUUUUCUUUUAAAUGAUUAUAAUUGGAAUUUCUAAAUUAGGUCAACCAAGUCCAAUUAUAUAUUUAACUCAGCGAAUUGAGAAAUGUAAGAAGAAAAGAAACUGUAAGAAAAAAGCAUGUUACUACACUGUAUAAUUUUAUAUAUAGACAAAAAAAAACAGAGGAUCGAAGA
Molecule: long non-coding RNA, 1886 nt
Organism: Brassica rapa (field mustard)
Lineage: Eukaryota; Viridiplantae; Streptophyta; Magnoliopsida; Brassicales; Brassicaceae
Source: RefSeq, a predicted model, not a curated record